AAUUCCUUCCACCACAAACCAGACCCUAACCCUAGCUCCAGUCCGGUCCACCCUCAUGUCCCGUGGCCCUCCAGCCUCUCCUGCCGCCAGCCUCUCCCGCCGCCAGCCUCCAUCCUUCCCUUCCCUCACCAGAUCUCCGGUGCUCCUCCAUGGCAGGCACUUGUGCUCCCCUCUCCACCUCUCCCAUCAGCCUCCAUCCCUUCGAACCACAAUCCCCUGUUCCCCCGUUCGUUGCGGUAGGCCCCGUCACUCGCACGUAUGUCAUGGCGUUGCCGGAUCUGUCUGCUACACUCAAUUCUCCCGUGGGAGGCCAUGGUGUGGGCGCGGAUGACCAUGGCGAUAGUGGAUAUGACACCAGCGCCUUCUCUCGACACCAUCCUCCGGAGCUGCCGAAGAGAACGACGAGAGGGCUGCCGACGGCUAUCUUCGCUGUUAAUGAAUUCGCAAGAAAUCGCUCGGUCAGGUUGGAUUCCCCUACUUCGUGCUACAGGGCGUGGAUGUGCAACACCGCUUAGAGGGUUUGAAGACCUCCUAAGUGAUGUGAAAGAAAGCUCCAACUACAUGGCACAAGCUUCAUGCUCACGGGGAGUGGUCCAAUACAAAGUCGGAGGUGUUUUCUUCUACUCCAUUGCAUCUGUUAAGCUGCUUGCAUGGAAAUACAAGUUUAAACUUGUAUCUUUGCAAAGUAUAUGCCAUCCUGAGAUUCAAAUAAAUACCAUGUCUUUAGGUAGUAAUUUUUUAAUUGAUGGUAAAUAAGUAUUAUAACUAUAGCUGAUCUGGACCUUAUCUCUAUGAUUGUAUGUGUUGCUCGCUGUAUAAAGUUGCCCUCAUGCUAGCUGAUCUGGACCUUAUCUCUAUUAUUUUAUCUGCUGCUCGCAAGGCCAAGACAAACAUAUGUACACAGCAGCGGCCAGCCAGCUGGAAACUAAAUACGACGCUCACGCAUACACAUGAGAAAUCCCUCAAUAACCAUAG
Hordeum vulgare subsp. vulgare (domesticated barley) is the source of this 975-nucleotide long non-coding RNA. RefSeq lists it as uncharacterized. Lineage: Eukaryota; Viridiplantae; Streptophyta; Magnoliopsida; Poales; Poaceae. The record is from RefSeq and is a predicted model, not a curated record. The transcript is spliced from 2 exons.